UUGAAUUUUUGAGACCUAUGUGUCUCUCCAACUGAGACUAAAGGUGAGUUUUCCACCAGUGAAUGAUGCUCUCUUGAUCUUCAGUUGAGGUAUUUUUUAACUUCACGAAUUUUCGAUACUAACGUCAGAGUUUAAUCGUGUGGAAGUUUCUAUAUGAAAGAUUUGAUUUUUCAAGUUGAAAGGUCACUCAUGGAGUCAUGGUUGAAGGUGCAAACUCAGGAUAUUCCUAAAAAAGAAAGAAAAAACACUAGCAGCAAGUCUAAAAGUUUGACCAAAG
This 277-nucleotide long non-coding RNA is filed under the name Setaria viridis. RNAcentral's name for it is "long non-coding RNA (SVIR_LNC000766)". The record is from RNAcentral. Lineage: Eukaryota; Viridiplantae; Streptophyta; Magnoliopsida; Poales; Poaceae.